RNAcentral lists this ribosomal RNA (510 nucleotides) under uncultured bacterium. Its description in RNAcentral is "partial 16S ribosomal RNA". It matches the Rfam family "Bacterial small subunit ribosomal RNA", at positions 28 to 507 of the family's 1533-position model. The record is from RNAcentral.
GACGAACGCUGGCGGCGUGCUUAACACAUGCAAGUCGAACGAAGAGCGAUGGAAGCUUGCUUCUAUCAAUCUUAGUGGCGACCGGGUGAGUAACGCGUAAUCAACCUGCCCUUCAGAGGGGGACAACAGUUGGAAACGACUGCUAAUACCGCAUACGAUCUAACCUCGGCAUCGAGGAUAGAUGAAAGGUGGCCUCUACAUGUAAGCUAUCACUGAAGGAGGGGAUUGCGUCUGAUUAGCUAGUUGGAGGGGUAACGGCCCACCAAGGCGAUGAUCAGUAGCCGGUCUGAGAGGAUGAACGGCCACAUUGGGACUGAGACACGGCCCAGACUCCUACGGGAGGCAGCAGUGGGGAAUCUUCCGCAAUGGACGAAAGGCUGACGGAGCAACGCCGCGUGAGUGAUGACGGCCUUCGGGUUGUAAAGCUCUGUUAAUCGGGACGAAAGGCCUUCUUGCGAAUAGUUAGAAGGAUUGACGGUACCGGAAUAGAAAGCCACGGCUAACUACGUG